AAUAACAAAGGAAUGGUGGGGAAGCAUGUCACGUGAUUAUCAUGCGCACGCGACAGCACGGCCGGUGUGCUGGGCGUUGAGAAAGGGUACGGAGUGGACUGUGCCUCAAUCUUAUGAUUUCGAUCCCCUGCGCAGUGUGUGAGGAAACUGCAAAAUCAUUGAGGAGAGAGAGAGAGAAAAGCAGAUGGGAAGUAGGGGCAGAGGCGGCGGAAAUUACAGAAACCCAUGUCUCACUAUGCACCAGCCCCCAUGGGCUUCUUUGCUGGUUCACGGUAUCAAGCGC
This 283-nucleotide long non-coding RNA is filed under the name Actinidia chinensis (golden kiwifruit). Its description in RNAcentral is "long non-coding RNA (ACHI_LNC000781)". Lineage: Eukaryota; Viridiplantae; Streptophyta; Magnoliopsida; Ericales; Actinidiaceae. The record is from RNAcentral.